This 738-nucleotide ribosomal RNA is filed under the name Hortiboletus napaeus. RNAcentral describes it as "partial large subunit ribosomal RNA". It matches the Rfam family "Eukaryotic large subunit ribosomal RNA", at positions 73 to 804 of the family's 3401-position model. The record is from RNAcentral. Lineage: Eukaryota; Fungi; Basidiomycota; Agaricomycetes; Boletales; Boletaceae.
GAUUCCCCUAGUAACUGCGAGUGAAGCGGGAAGAGCUCAAAUUUUGAAUCUGGCGGUCGUUUCGGCCGUCCGAGUUGUAAUCUAGAGAAGCGUUUUCCGCACUGGCCCGUGUACAAGUCUCCUGGAAGGGAGCGUCAUAGAGGGUGAGAAUCCCGUCUUUGACACGGACUACCAGUGCUAUGUGAUGCGCUCUCGACGAGUCGAGUUGUUUGGGAAUGCAGCUCAAAACGGGUGGUAAACUCCAUCUAAAGCUAAAUACAGGCGAGAGACCGAUAGCGAACAAGUACCGUGAGGGAAAGAUGAAAAGAACUUUGGAAAGAGAGUUAAACAGUACGUGAAAUUGCUGAAAGGGAAACGCUCGAUGUCAGUCGCGUCGGCCGGGGAUCAACCUUGCUUCUCGCUGGGUGUACUUCCUGGUCGACGGGUCAGCAUCAGUUUCGGUCGUCGUACAAUGGCGGAGGGAACGUGGCACUCUUUCGGGGGUGUGUUAUAGCCUUUCGUCGUAUGCGGCGGUCGGGACUGAGGAACUCAGCAACGACCUUCGGGUCUGUGCUUAGGAUGCUGGCAUAAUGGCCUUGAGCGACCCGUCUUGAAACACGGACCAAGGAGUCUAACAUGCAUGCGAGUGUUCGGGUGGAAAACCCGUGCGCGAAAUGAAAGUGAAAGUCGAGACCUCUGUCGUGGAGGGCACCGACGCCCGGACCCGAGUCUUUGACGACGGACCUGCGGUAGAGCAUG